This 482-nucleotide ribosomal RNA is filed under the name uncultured bacterium. RNAcentral's name for it is "partial 16S ribosomal RNA". It matches the Rfam family "Bacterial small subunit ribosomal RNA", at positions 28 to 507 of the family's 1533-position model. The record is from RNAcentral.
GAUGAACGCUAGCGGCAGGCCUAAUACAUGCAAGUCGGACGGGAUUCAGGAGCUUGCUUCUGAUGAGAGUGGCGCACGGGUGCGUAACACGUAUGUAACCUACCUUUAUCAGGGGGAUAGCCUCUCGAAAGAGAGAUUAAGCCCGCAUAAAAUCACAGCACAGCAUUGUGUAAUGAUCAAAUAUUUAUAGGAUAAAUAUGGUCAUGCGGAACAUUAGCUAGAUGGCGGGGUAACGGCCCACCAUGGCGACGAUGUUUAGGGGAUCUGAGAGGAUGGCCCCCCACACUGGUACUGAGACACGGACCAGACUCCUACGGGAGGCAGCAGUAAGGAAUAUUGAGCAAUGGGCGGAAGCCUGAACCAGCCAUGCCGCGUGCAGGAAGACGGCCCUACGGGUUGUAAACUGCUUUUAUACGGGAAUAAACCCAGAUACGUGUAUCUGGCUGAAUGUACUGUAAGAAUAAGGAUCGGCUAACUCCGUG